GGGGGGGGGGGGUGGUUUGUUAGAAAUCCCACCGCUGCCACCAUUGUGACGGUUCUAGGGAAUCGGGGAAUUGAGGGGGGUGGUUAAUAUGCUUCCACCAUUGUCCCAAAAUCAUCCCCAUCGCUACAUAAACUUUCUCCUGCUACCAUUAUAGCGAAUUCAAGUAAAACAGGUCUGGAAAGAAGACUACAUUCAUAACCACUUUUAUGUCAGUCUCUUAUACCCUUAAUUCUGACGGUUGCUGCCACCACCUAGUCUUAAUCUGGAGCGCUAGGAUCUCCAAAACAACACGGUUUGUGUGUUUACAUUCACUCUGUAAUCUGAUACACUCUCACUUACAUACACAGAUUCCUAAGAAACCGGACCAUGCGUCCUUCUACUAGUAUACGCUUUAAGUCAUUGUGACGUAUGGCAAUUGCUUCCUUUUGGGACGCACUGUCUCGUCCUUUCCCAAUCUGUCUCUCGUCACGUGCAAGACGCACUGUCUCACUCUGGGAAAAUCCUGUAUUGAUUUGGCCAUUUCCACUCAAAGUUAGCUUCUAGAGUCUCAAACCACUUCACAAUAUCUUCCAUCCUUUUAUAGAGAUCAUCCAGUCGACCACAUUGUGUACAGGGCUGCCUCAAGAUAGAGACCAUCUGUGUUCAUGUGGACUCGUCCUGCUCUGUGUUGAAGGGUUCUGACUUCACGGUAUAGUGUGUACAGCACAAACAGGAUGACUUGGAUGAAAUCUUUCACAGGGCUCCCUCAGCCUUAUGAAUGCCUCAGUCAUCAAUCCAGCCUGGAUUGCAUCAUUUAGAGUGGCUGGAUGAGAACGGAAAAUUCCAGCUCUAAUUUCCGAAUCAUCGAUAGAGUCUGAGAAGUGAGCUCUUGCAUCAGCCGUCAAUUCAGGAUAUGCACAGCCAGACAACUCCUGGAUAGCCCGACCAAAUUCCUACAGUGACUCCUUAGGAUGACGUUUCCUCAUUUCCAACUUAAAGAGAAAGUUUCGAGCCUGGUCACCUGAACCAAACCUGCCAUCAGGGUGGAACACGAGCUCCGUGUAAGUGAAGAUGAGUCCUUGUGGAAGAUUGUGCAACAUGUUUAACGCUAAUCCUUGUAAGCGAGUUGCCAAAUACUGUCCAGCCUCCGCAUCACUCCAGUUAUUGAGACGCAUACAGACAUCAAAGUGUCUUCUAUAUUCCGACCAGGGGAUUUUCCAGCAAACUUGCCCGGAAGUAUUUCCUUCUCCGAUUCGGUGUAAAGACACGUCUAUGUUCCUCAGGAAUGGCAUUUCCAUAAAAGCCAUGUCUAGUACGAUUUCUGGAUCCUGGACAUCCAUUUCCAAGCGUCUUGGUUCCUGUUGGACACUCUGUACCCGUUGGACAUCGUACGGACACAGCCAGCGUAAUUCCAGACACUCCGUCCAGUCCAUCAGGAACUUCACUUCUUGGAUCCAUUUUGUUUAAAAAUUUAUAUGCCAACCAAGAAUUUUUAAGUCACCAGUUAACCUCUUACAAUGUUGUUUUUGUACAAUUUAAUUUAAGUGUACUCUUAUUAUUAUUUGUACAUAUUAUACUCUAUUGAAAAAUUGCACUCAUAAGUUUAGAAGUUCAUGAUAUCGAUCUUGUCUGGUUUGCUCUAGUUUCUUAAUUACUGUACGUCUACUACAUCAUAAAAAUAACACUUGUUAUUUCCUCUAAGUGAUUAGCAUCAUUUACCACUAAAACAAGAACACAACUCAUCUUAGAAUUGCAGUUUAUUGCAAUUAAAAAUGCUUCUAAAUCCCACUGCUGCCACCAUUGUGACGGUUUUAGCGUGAAAUCGGGGAAGAGGGGG
Long non-coding RNA from Strongylocentrotus purpuratus (purple sea urchin), 1816 nucleotides. RefSeq lists it as uncharacterized. The record is from RefSeq and is a predicted model, not a curated record. Lineage: Eukaryota; Metazoa; Echinodermata; Echinoidea; Camarodonta; Strongylocentrotidae. The transcript is spliced from 3 exons.